Molecule: ribosomal RNA, 574 nt
Filed under: Enterobacter asburiae
Lineage: Bacteria; Pseudomonadati; Pseudomonadota; Gammaproteobacteria; Enterobacterales; Enterobacteriaceae
Description: bacterial SSU rRNA
Rfam family: Bacterial small subunit ribosomal RNA
Source: RNAcentral
GACGAGCGGCGGACGGGUGAGUAAUGUCUGGGAAACUGCCUGAUGGAGGGGGAUAACUACUGGAAACGGUAGCUAAUACCGCAUAACGUCGCAAGACCAAAGAGGGGGACCUUCGGGCCUCUUGCCAUCAGAUGUGCCCAGAUGGGAUUAGCUAGUAGGUGGGGUAACGGCUCACCUAGGCGACGAUCCCUAGCUGGUCUGAGAGGAUGACCAGCCACACUGGAACUGAGACACGGUCCAGACUCCUACGGGAGGCAGCAGUGGGGAAUAUUGCACAAUGGGCGCAAGCCUGAUGCAGCCAUGCCGCGUGUAUGAAGAAGGCCUUCGGGUUGUAAAGUACUUUCAGCGGGGAGGAAGGCGAUAAGGUUAAUAACCUUGUCGAUUGACGUUACCCGCAGAGAAGCACCGGCUAACUCCGUGCCAGCAGCCGCGGUAAUACGGAGGGUGCAAGCGUUAAUCGGAAUUACUGGGCGUAAAGCGCACGCAGGCGGUCUGUCAAGUCGGAUGUGAAAUCCCCGGGCUCAACCUGGGAACUGCAUUCGAAACUGGCAGGCUAGAGUCUUGUAGAGGGGGG